AGAGGGCCACCAUCAACUGCAAGUCCAGCCAGAGUGUUUUAUACAGCUCCAACAAUAAGAACUACUUAGCUUGGUACCAGCAGAAACCAGGACAGCCUCCUAAGCUGCUCAUUUACUGGGCAUCUACCCGGGAAUCCGGGGUCCCUGACCGAUUCAGUGGCAGCGGGUCUGGGACAGAUUUCACUCUCACCAUCAGCAGCCUGCAGGCUGAAGAUGUGGCAGUUUAUUACUGUCAGCAAUAUUAUAGUACUCCUCCCAC
This 259-nucleotide long non-coding RNA is filed under the name Homo sapiens (human). RNAcentral's name for it is "non-protein coding lnc-RPIA-4:2". The record is from RNAcentral. Lineage: Eukaryota; Metazoa; Chordata; Mammalia; Primates; Hominidae.